GCUGGUUGUGGUGGUGCACACCUGUAAUCCCAGCUAUUCAGGAAGCCGAGGUGGGAGGAUUGCUAGAGCCCAGGAGUUCCAGGCUGUAGUGAGCUAUGCUUGUGCCACUGCACUCCAGCCUGGGCAACAGAGCGAGAGUCUAUCUCAA
Molecule: non-coding RNA, 148 nt
Filed under: Chlorocebus sabaeus (green monkey)
Lineage: Eukaryota; Metazoa; Chordata; Mammalia; Primates; Cercopithecidae
Source: Rfam by way of RNAcentral